Molecule: ribosomal RNA, 442 nt
Filed under: uncultured bacterium
Lineage: Bacteria
Description: partial 16S ribosomal RNA
Rfam family: Bacterial small subunit ribosomal RNA
Source: RNAcentral
CCUACGGGAGGCAGCAGUGGGGAAUAUUGGGCAAUGGACGCAAGUCUGACCCAGCAACGCCGCGUGAAGGAAGAAGGCUUUCGGGUUGUAAACUUCUUUUAAGGGGGAAGAGCAGAAGACGGUACCCCUUGAAUAAGCCACGGCUAACUACGUGCCAGCAGCCGCGGUAAUACGUAGGUGGCAAGAGUUGUCCGGAUUUACUGGGUGUAAAGGGCGUGCAGCCGGAGAGACAAGUCAGAUGUGAAAUCCCCGGGCUCAACCCGUGAACUGCAUUUGAAACUGUUUCCCUUGAGUGUCGGAGAGGUAAUCGGAAUUCCGUGUGUAGCGGUGAAAGGCGUAGAUAUAAGGAAGAACACCAGUGGCGAAGGCGGAUUACUGGACGAUAACUGACGGUGAGGCGCGAAAGCGUGGGGAGCAAACAGGAUUAGAUACCCUAGUAGUC